AGCGCAGGCGGUCUUUUAAGUCUGAUGUGAAAGCCCCCGGCUUAACCGGGGAGGGUCAUUGGAAACUGAAAGACUUGAGUGCAGAAGAGGAGAGUGGAAUUCCAUGUGUAGCGGUGAAAUGCGUAGAUAUAUGGAGGAACACCAGUGGCGAAGGCGGCUCUCUGGUCUGUAACUGACGCUGAGGCUCGAAAGCGUGGGGAGCAAACA
This 207-nucleotide ribosomal RNA is filed under the name uncultured bacterium. Its description in RNAcentral is "partial 16S ribosomal RNA". It matches the Rfam family "Bacterial small subunit ribosomal RNA", at positions 568 to 774 of the family's 1533-position model. The record is from RNAcentral.